GAGUUUGAUCCUGGCUCAGAUUGAACGCUGGCGGCAGGCCUAACACAUGCAAGUCGAGCGUGAAAGGGCUUCGGCCUGAGUAAAGCGGCGGACGGGUGAGUAACGCGUAGGAAUCUACCUAGUAGUGGGGGAUAACGUUCCGAAAGGAACGCUAAUACCGCAUACGUUCUGAGGAAGAAAGCAGGGGGAUCGCAAGACCUUGCGCUAUUAGAUGAGCCUGCGUCCGAUUAGCUAGUUGGUGGGGUAAAAGGCCUACCAAGGCGACGAUCGGUAACUGGUCUGAGAGGAUGAUCAGUCACACUGGAACUGAGACACGGUCCAGACUCCUACGGGAGGCAGCAGUGGGGAAUAUUGGACAAUGGGGGCAACCCUGAUCCAGCCAUG
Molecule: ribosomal RNA, 384 nt
Filed under: uncultured Gammaproteobacteria bacterium
Lineage: Bacteria; Pseudomonadati; Pseudomonadota; Gammaproteobacteria
Description: bacterial SSU rRNA
Rfam family: Bacterial small subunit ribosomal RNA
Source: RNAcentral